CAGACUAGAGCUUGGUAAAAGCAUUUUAUUUACAUUAAAAAGUUAAUUGUGAGACUCAAUUUGGUUUGA
This 69-nucleotide transfer RNA is filed under the name Machla sappho. RNAcentral's name for it is "tRNA-Val". The record is from RNAcentral. Lineage: Eukaryota; Metazoa; Arthropoda; Insecta; Coleoptera; Tenebrionidae.